AUAUUCGUGGUUCAGUCGGGAGAACAUCCGACUAUGGUGCGGUAGAAUUCGGGUUCGAGUCCCAGUGAAUAUG
Non-coding RNA from Henosepilachna vigintioctopunctata, 73 nucleotides. NCBI's taxonomy places the organism in Eukaryota, Metazoa, Arthropoda, Insecta, Coleoptera, Coccinellidae. The record is from the annotation of a GenBank genome assembly.